UCCCGGGCAGGAACCCACGAAGAGGCAGGUUAGGCAACCAAGCGACCAGAUACGGCUCCUCUCCGGGAUCAGCAACCUCUCUGUCAUCUACAACCCCCUCAUGCUUGAGAACAGAAUUUCCUAUGAGCCUCUCAUCGCCGACUCGGGUUCCAGAAGUACGGACCGCUGACGAAUUGAGCAAAGCCUCGGGAGCUUCAGGGAGCCAUCGCCCUGCGGCCCACUGGAGGCGGGCGUGCGCAGGCGCAUUGGAUCCGAGGCGCAGUCACGGGCGGAAGAAGCAAAAAACAAGGCAUGUGUCUGCAUGACACUGAAGACUAUGCUUCCAGCAUAAAGAAGAAACCAACUUGCAAUGUACAAAUGAUGCUGAAAUUCAGAAAUUCACCGCCAACACUUGGGAAGACCCGGCCCCUUCCCUUCUCCCACAAUUCAAAACCAAGGAAUAAAAAGGAAACUCAUGAAACUGA
Molecule: long non-coding RNA, 464 nt
Organism: Sorex araneus (European shrew)
Lineage: Eukaryota; Metazoa; Chordata; Mammalia; Eulipotyphla; Soricidae
Exons: 2
Source: RefSeq, a predicted model, not a curated record